UAAUUGUAAUAUUUGAUGUCAUUAUAACAACUUCAAUAUAAAAUUUAAGGUAAUAUUUAAUAACAUUAUAAUAAUUGCAAUGUUAAGAUACAUGUAAAUAAGAUGACUUUAUAAUAAUUGCUAUUGUAAGGACUCAAGCACCACAGAUGAGUCUUAUGUAGACGAGAAAGACGCCUGUCGUUCACAAUUUCGAUAUGAAGAUAGUACGAAUUUUUCAUAAGUGGGAGCCCACUGACUUCGUAAGAAGGGUCCCGCUCCAUUCAAGGUUCAGUGAUUCCCUUCCAAAAAUCCGCCUCUGAAUGUAUCUGUUAUGAUGUUUUUUGAUAAAUUUACUGUUACGAAAAAUGUUACAUUUUAUGGUCCAGAA
RNAcentral lists this long non-coding RNA (367 nucleotides) under Mytilus galloprovincialis (Mediterranean mussel). Lineage: Eukaryota; Metazoa; Mollusca; Bivalvia; Mytilida; Mytilidae. The record is from RNAcentral.